This 905-nucleotide ribosomal RNA is filed under the name uncultured bacterium. RNAcentral's name for it is "bacterial SSU rRNA". It matches the Rfam family "Bacterial small subunit ribosomal RNA", at positions 20 to 915 of the family's 1533-position model. The record is from RNAcentral.
UGGCUCAGGAUGAACGCUAGCUACAGGCUUAACACAUGCAAGUCGAGGGGAAACGAUAGAGAAAGCUUGCUUUUUCUAGGCGUCGACCGGCGCACGGGUGAGUAACGCGUAUCCAACCUGCCCAUCACUUGGGGAUAACCUUGCGAAAGUAAGACUAAUACCCAAUGACGUCUCUAGAAGACAUCUGAAGGAGAUUAAAGAUUUAUCGGUGAUGGAUGGGGAUGCGUCUGAUUAGCUUGUUGGCGGGGUAACGGCCCACCAAGGCGACGAUCAGUAGGGGUUCUGAGAGGAAGGUCCCCCACAUUGGAACUGAGACACGGUCCAAACUCCUACGGGAGGCAGCAGUGAGGAAUAUUGGUCAAUGGACGAGAGUCUGAACCAGCCAAGUAGCGUGCAGGAUGACGGCCCUAUGGGUUGUAAACUGCUUUUAUAAGGGAAUAAAGUGAGUCUCGUGAGACUUUUUGCAUGUACCUUAUGAAUAAGGACCGGCUAAUUCCGUGCCAGCAGCCGCGGUAAUACGGAAGGUCCGGGCGUUAUCCGGAUUUAUUGGGUUUAAAGGGAGCGUAGGCCGGAGAUUAAGCGUGUUGUGAAAUGUAGACGCUCAACGUCUGCACUGCAGCGCGAACUGGUUUCCUUGAGUACGCACAAAGUGGGCGGAAUUCGUGGUGUAGCGGUGAAAUGCUUAGAUAUCACGAAGAACUCCGAUUGCGAAGGCAGCUCACUGGAGCGCAACUGACGCUGAAGCUCGAAAGUGCGGGUAUCGAACAGGAUUAGAUACCCUGGUAGUCCGCACGGUAAACGAUGGAUGCCCGCUGUUGGUCUGAAUAGGUCAGCGGCCAAGCGAAAGCAUUAAGCAUCCCACCUGGGGAGUACGCCGGCAACGGUGAAACUCAAAGGAAUUGACG